GAUGAACGCUAGCUACAGGCUUAACACAUGCAAGUCGAGGGGAAACGGCAUCGAAAGCUUGCUUUUGAUGGGCGUCGACCGGCGCACGGGUGAGUAACGCGUAUCCAACCUGCCCAUCACUUGGGAAUAACCUUGCGAAAGUAAGACUAAUGCCCAAUGACAUCCCACGAAGGCAUCCGAAUGGGAUUAAAGAUUUAUCGGUGAUGGAUGGGGAUGCGUCUGAUUAGCUUGUUGGCGGGGUGACGGCCCACCAAGGCAACGAUCAGUAGGGGUUCUGAGAGGAAGGUCCCCCACAUUGGAACUGAGACACGGUCCAAACUCCUACGGGAGGCAGCAGUGAGGAAUAUUGGUGAAUGGGCGAGAGCCUGAACCAGCCAAGUAGCGUGCAGGAUGACGGCCCUAUGGGUUGUAAACUGCUUUUAUAAGGGAAUAAAGUGGGUCACGUGUGACUUUUUGCAUGUACCUUAUGAAUAAGGACCGGCUAAUUCCGUG
RNAcentral lists this ribosomal RNA (492 nucleotides) under uncultured bacterium. RNAcentral's name for it is "partial 16S ribosomal RNA". It matches the Rfam family "Bacterial small subunit ribosomal RNA", at positions 28 to 507 of the family's 1533-position model. The record is from RNAcentral.